GGGGAUGAUUCUGGAUUCGACCGGAAGCAUGGAUUCCAAGGCGCAUGUCGAGCUCGGUAACUCGUAAAACUGUCGACAAAAAAUAGUCGCCAACGACGAAAACUACGCUUUAGCAGCUUAAUAACCUGCGUAAAGCCCUCGGUUUUAAGCCUUUCUAGUGACGCUUAAUUAAUCCGGGGUCAGUUUUUCACUAGAUCGUAUGGAAUCCCCCGUCUGAGGAUGAAGUACUAAAGGAUUAACCAGACUGUGGUGCAAGGUAGCGUGGUUGUCCGCAGCCGGUAUCAAGAUCGUAGACAAACCUAAACAUGUAGUGCUGAAGAUGAAGUCUUUUGGGACGCGGGUUCAAAUCCCGCCAUCUCCACCA
Succinatimonas hippei YIT 12066 is the source of this 364-nucleotide non-coding RNA. It matches the Rfam family "transfer-messenger RNA". Rfam says of the family: Bacterial tmRNA, also known as 10Sa RNA or SsrA, is named for its dual tRNA and mRNA-like properties. Its role is to liberate the mRNA from a stalled ribosome. To accomplish this part of the tmRNA is used as a reading frame that ends in a translation stop signal. The record is from Rfam. Lineage: Bacteria; Pseudomonadati; Pseudomonadota; Gammaproteobacteria; Aeromonadales; Succinivibrionaceae.